GGGAUUGCCUCAGUAACGGCGAGUGAAGCGGCAUCAGCUCAAAUUUGAAAUCUGGCCCCGUCGGGGUCCGAAUUGUAAUUUGUAGAGAGUGCUUCGGGUGAGGCCCCGGUCUAAGUCCAUUGGAACAUGGUGUCAUAGAGGGUGAGAAUCCCGUAUGCGACCGUGGCUCGAGCCCAUGUGAAGCCUCUUCGACGAGUCGAGUUGUUUGGGAAUGCAGCUCAAAAUGGGUGGUAAAUUUCAUCUAAAGCUAAAUACUGGCUGGAGACCGAUAGCGCACAAGUAGAGUGAUCGAAAGAUGAAAAGCACUUUGGAAAGAGAGUCAAAAAGUACGUGAAAUUGUUGAAAGGGAAGCGCUUGCAACCAGACCUGCCCGUAGGCGAUCAACCGCUGUUCUCAGCGGUGCACUCGCUCUGCGAUCAGGCCAGCAUCGGUCUCGGCGGUCGGAUAAAGGCCUUGGGAAUGUAGCUUCCCCUCGGGGGAGUCUUAUAGCCCUCGGUGCAAUGCGGCCAGCCGGGACCGAGGACCGCGCUUCGGCUAGGAUGCUGGCGUAAUGGUUGU
Molecule: ribosomal RNA, 558 nt
Filed under: Xanthoparmelia saxeti
Lineage: Eukaryota; Fungi; Ascomycota; Lecanoromycetes; Lecanorales; Parmeliaceae
Description: eukaryotic LSU rRNA
Rfam family: Eukaryotic large subunit ribosomal RNA
Source: RNAcentral